Molecule: RNA transcript, 4491 nt
Organism: Manis pentadactyla (Chinese pangolin)
Lineage: Eukaryota; Metazoa; Chordata; Mammalia; Pholidota; Manidae
Gene name: neurotrypsin-like
Exons: 4
Source: RefSeq, a predicted model, not a curated record
GUCCCCGCCCGCCGGCUCUCCGCGGAGCUCAGGAUCUCACCGCCCGCGAGCGCCGCGCUCCCUCGCCUCCACCUCGGAACCGAGGAGCCGGGGAUCAUGGACCAAAGCCCGCCGUUCUGUCACCAUGACGCUUGUCCGCCUUGUGGCGGUUCUGGUCUUAGGGGCGCUCCCCGAAGUGGUCAGUUUUGAUCCGGUGCUCAGUUACCCGCCCCACCAACGCCAUCGCGGCUCACCCGCUCCGAGUUCCCGGCACCCUCACUCCCUUUCCACGCCGCAGCGGCACCAGAGGACGCCUCCGCCGGCCGCCCUCCCGCGCGUCCCGCGCCCCCCGCCCGCGCUCCCCGCCCGGCGCCUGGCCGCCUUCCACGCGGGGCACCGGCCGGGGCCGCUCCCCGGCGGCUGCCCCGCCGGCGAGCCCUGGGUCGACGUGACGGACUUCGGCGCCCCUAGUCUGCGCUGGGCGGAGGUGCCACCCUUCCUCGAGCGGUCGCCCCCGACGAGCUGGGCUCAGCUGCGAGGGCAGGGCCACAACUUUUGCCGGAGCCCGGACGGCGCGGGCAGACCCUGGUGCUUCUACGGCGGCGCGCACCGCAGGGUGGACUGGGGCUACUGCGACUGCAGGCACGGUAAUGUGAAUGGCAUGAAGAGGAAAGAAUGGGAAAACAAAUCAGUGGGAAUAGAAGUGGAGAGAAAAACUCAGCACCUUAGUCUUCAAGUACCAUUACGCUCUCAUAGCUCCUCCUCUUCCUCAGAAGAGAACAGUAGCUCUAGUGCUGUGCAGCCUUUAUUGGCUGGUGAGAAGGAGAGUCCCUCUUCUGUUGCUGAUGACCACCCGGUCCAGAAGGAAUUCUUGCAUGCUACAAAAAGAGAUGAUGGCCAUGUAAGAAAUUUCAGGAAAUAGCCCUGUGUCUCCUAAUACUCAGGAUAAGUCAGUAGGUCAAUCUCCUCUGAGAUCUCCCUUGAAACGACAAGCCUCUGUAUGUUCCACUCGACUUGGAAGUACCAAGAGCCUUACUGCUGCUUUGUACGGGGACAAGCAGCCUGUUACAGUUUGAGUCCAGUUCAGUAGUGAUGUCUCUUGAACUGAUGAGAACGUACUAGAUUCACCAAAGCAGAGAAGAAGUUUUGGUUCAUCCCCAUACACACCAUCAGCAGACUCUAAUUCCUUUCAUCAAUAUCGAUCAAUGGAUUCCAGCAUGUCAAUGGCUGAUAGCAAAGCCUACUUUUCUGCAGCUGAAGAAUUUGAACCCAUAAGCAGUGAUGAAGGCCCUGGAACUUACCCAGGUAGAAAAAAGAAGAAGAAACAAACCCAGCAGGUUGACUACAGUAGGGGUUCCAUAUAUCGCAGUGUUGAAGGACCACUUACUGGCCACGGAGAAAGCAUUCAGGAUCCCCGAACUCUGCCGUUCAAAACACAUCCUUCCCAGGCUUCAUUUGUUUCUGCGUUAGGUGGAGAAGAUAAAGUUACAGAGCAGUUGUAUAUUAUAGAAGUUGAGAAGACAGUAGAGAGUGAACCCAUUACUUCUCAACAACCUGUGAUGAAUUGUUUUCAGACUUACCUUACUCAGUUCCAGAGGUACUAUGUCACAAUGAGCACAUUUGAGCAUGUUCCUUGGAACAUAACCAGUGGAAGAUAAACGAAUGUUGGGCUUCAGCUGGAGCAGAGCCUUCCAAAGAAAUAAAGUGACUAGUUACUCCUGAGAGGACUGGAAUUUGCUGGACUGUUGGCCAAAUGAAUGUUGAGGAGAUUGCCUCUGUGUGUCUGUGUACACGCUCAAAUCUUGACUCUAGUUCUGAUGAAAGAAGAAGGAAGAUGAAUGUAGGACCACCAACCUCAAUACAGCAGGCACCAAGGAUUGAAGAGAAGACAUCGCUAUUCGUGAAUUCCUGCGUGGGUGUAUGUGUGUGGUGGCAGGUGAGGGUGAGGCAAAGAGGAGGACAGCUAACUGCUGACACCACGGUCCCCGUUGACGCUAAGGUGAUGAGGGGCCAAAGCCUCUCACAGACUUUUCCUGAUUAUUCCCACGCUGCCAUGAUGAAAACUUAUGUCCUGGAUGAGGUUUCAGGCAGUCUCACUCUAAGAUCCCAGUCUUGUUCCCAAUCUCAGAGGAAAAGCUCUCAGCUUCUCACUGUUCAGUAUGAUGUUGGCUGUGGGUUUAUCAUAUAUGGCCUUUAUUAUGUUGAGCUAUUUGCCCUCUAUACCCAUUUUGCUGACAGUUUUUAUCAUGAAUGGAUGUUGAAUUUUGUCAAAUGCUGUUUCAGAAUCUAUGGAGAUGAUCAUGUGGUUUUUGUCCUUAUUGUUGAUGCGGUGGAUGAUGUUGAUGGAUUUUCAAAUGUUGUACCAUCCUUGCACCCCUGGGAUGAAUCUCACUUGGUCAUGGUGAGUGAUCCUCUUGAUGUAGUUUUGAAAUCGGUUUGCUAAUAUUUUGUUGAGUAUUUUUGCAUCUACGUUCAUCAGGGAUAUUGGUCUGUAGUUUUCUUUUUUGGUGGGGUCUUUGCCUGGUUUUGGUUUUAGGGUGAUGUUGGCUUCAUAGAAUGAGUUUGGGAGUAUUCCCUCCUCUUCUAUGUUUUGGGAAACUUUAAGGAGAAUGGGUGUUAUGUCUUCUCUGUAUGUUUGAUAAAAUUCUGAGGUAAAUCCAUCUGGCCUGGGGGUUUUGUUCUUGUGAAGUUUUUUGUUACCUAUUCAAUUUCAUUGCUGGUAAUUCAUCUGUUUAGAUUUUCUGUUUCUUUAUGGGUCAGUCUUGGAAGGUUGUAUUUUUCUAAGAAGUUGUCCAUUUCUCCUAGGUUUUCCAGCUUGUUAGCAUAUAGGUUUUCAUAGUAUUCUCUAAUAAUUCUUUGUAUUUCUGUGGGGUCCGUCGUGAUUUUUCCUUUCUCGUUUCUAAUUCUGUUGAUGUGUGUUGACCCUCUUUUUCUCUUAAUAAGUCUGGCUAGAGGCUUAUCUAUUUUGUUUAUUUUCUCAAAGAAACCAGCUCUUGGUUUCAUUGAUUUUUUGCUAUUGUUUUAUUCUUCUCAAUUUUAUUUAUUUCUUCUCUGAUCUUUAUUAUGUCCCUCCGUCUGUUGACCUUAGGCCUCAUUUGUUCUUCUUUUUCCAAUUUCGAUAAUUGUGACAUUACACUAUUCAUUUGGGAUUGUUCUUCCUUCUUUAAUAUGCUUGGAUUGCUAUAUACUAUCCUCUUAAGACUGCUUUCGCUGUGUCCCACAGAAGUUGGGGCUUUGUGUUAUUAUUCUCAUUUGUUUCCAUAUAUUGCUGGAUCUCCAUUUUAAUUUGGUGAUUGAUCCAUUGAUUAUUUAGGAGCAUGUUGUUAAGCCUCCAAGUGUUUGUGAGCCUUUUUGCUUUCUUUGUACAAUUUAUUUCUAGUUUUAUACCUUUGUGGUCUGAAAAGUUGGUUGGUAGGAUUUCAAUCUUUUGGAAUUUACUGAGGUUCUUUUUGUGGCCUAGUAUGUGGUCUAUUCUGGAGAAAGUUCCAUGUGCACUUGAGAAGAAUGUGUAUCCUGUUGCUUUUGGAUGUAUAGUUCAAUAGAUGUCUAUUAGGUCCAUCUGUUCUAGCAUGUUGUUCAGUGCCUCUGUGUCCUUACUUAUUUUCUGUCUGGUGGAUCUGUCCUUUGGGGUAAGUGGUGUGUUAAAGUCUCCCAAAAUGAAUGCAUUGCAUUCUAUUUCCUCCUUUAAUUCUGUUAGUAUUUGUUUCACAUAUAUUGGUGCUCCUGUAUUGGGUGCAUAUAUGUUUAUAAUGGUUAUAUCCUCUUGCUGGACUGAGCCCUUUAUCAUUAUGUAAUGUCCUUCUUUAUCUCUUGUUACUUUCUUUAUUUUGAGGUCUAUUUUGUCUGAUACUAGUAUUGCAACACGUGCUUUUUUCUCUCUGUUGUUUGCAUGAAACAUCUUUCUCCAACCCUUGACUUUUAAUCUGUGCAUGUCUUUGGGUUUGAGGUGAGUCUCUUGUAAGCAGCAUAUAGAUGGGUCUUGCUUUUUUAUCCAUUCUGUUACUCUGUGUCUUUUAAUUGGUGCAUUCAGUCCAUUUACAUUUAGGGUGAUAAUUGAAAGAUAUGUACUUAUUGCCAUUGCAGGCUUUAGAUUUGUGGUUACCAAAGGUUCAAGGUUAGCUUGUUUACUACCUUACUGUCAGACCUCACUCACUUAUUGAGCUGUUAUAAACACAGUCUGAUGAUUAUUUCUUUCCCUUCUUUUUCCUCCUCCUCCAUUCUUCAUAUGUUGGGUGUUUUGUUCUGUGCUCUUUUUAGGAGUGCUCCCAUCUAGAGCAGUCCCUCUAAGAUACCCUGUAGAGGUGGUUUCUGGGAGGCAAAUUCCCUCAACUUUUGCUUGUCUGGGAAUUGUUUAGUCCCUCCUUCAUAUUUAAAUGAUAAUCGUGCUGGAUACAGUAUCCUUGGUUCAAGGCCCUUCUGUUUCAUUGCAUUAAAUAUAUCAUGCCAUUCUCUUCUGGCCUGUAAUGUUUCUGUUGAGAAGUCUGAUGAUAGCCUGAUGGGUUUUCCUUUGUA